CAGUCGCCGCGGGAAUACGUAGGGUGCAAGCGUUAAUCGGAAUUACUGGGCGUAAAGCGUGCGCAGGCGGUUUGUUAAGACAGAUGUGAAAUCCCCGGGCUCAACCUGGGAACUGCAUUUGUGACUGGCAAGCUAGAGUGUGGCAGAGGGGGGUGGAAUUCCGCGCGUAGCAGUGAAAUGCGUAGAUAUGUGGAGGAACACCGAUGGCGAAGGCAGCCCCCUGGGCCAACACUGACGCUCAUGCACGAAAGCGUGGGGAGCAAACAGGAUUAGAUACCCCGGUAGUCCCUGUCUCUUAUAC
RNAcentral lists this ribosomal RNA (301 nucleotides) under uncultured bacterium. RNAcentral describes it as "partial 16S ribosomal RNA". It matches the Rfam family "Bacterial small subunit ribosomal RNA", at positions 509 to 807 of the family's 1533-position model. The record is from RNAcentral.